GACAGAGGGGGCAAGCGUUGCUCGGAAUCACUGGGCGUAAAGGGCGCGUAGGCGGGAUGGCAAGUCGGUCGUGAAAUCCUCGGGCUCAACUCGAGGGGGUCGGCCGAUACUGCCGUUCUUGAGGGAUGCAGAGGAGACUGGAAUUCCCGGUGUAGCGGUGAAAUGUGUAGAGAUCGGGAGGAACACCGGUGGCGAAGGCGGGUCUCUGGGCAUUCCCUGACGCUGAGGCGCGAAAGCGUGGGGAGCAAACGGG
RNAcentral lists this ribosomal RNA (253 nucleotides) under uncultured bacterium. RNAcentral's name for it is "partial 16S ribosomal RNA". It matches the Rfam family "Bacterial small subunit ribosomal RNA", at positions 524 to 776 of the family's 1533-position model. The record is from RNAcentral.